CCUACGGGAGGCUGCAGUGAGGAAUAUUGGUCAAUGGACGCAAGUCUGAACCAGCCAUGCCGCGUGCAGGAAGACGGCUCUAUGAGUUGUAAACUGCUUUUGUACGAGGGUAAACGCAGAUACGCGUAUCUGUCUGAGAGUAUCGUACGAAUAAGGAUCGGCUAACUCCGUGCCAGCAGCCGCGGUAAUACGGAGGAUUCAAGCGUUAUCCGGAGUUAUUGGGGUUAAAGGGUGCGUAGGCGGUCGGAUAAGUUAGAGGUGAAAUCCCGAGGCUCAACGUCGGAAUUGCCUCUGAUACUGGUAGUCUAGAGAGUAGUUGCGGUAGGCGGAAUGUACGGUGUAGCGGCGAAAUGCUUAGAGAUCGUACAGAACACCGAUUGCGAAGGCAGCUUACCAAG
Molecule: ribosomal RNA, 398 nt
Filed under: uncultured bacterium
Lineage: Bacteria
Description: partial 16S ribosomal RNA
Rfam family: Bacterial small subunit ribosomal RNA
Source: RNAcentral